This 74-nucleotide transfer RNA is filed under the name Daphnia pulex (common water flea). It matches the Rfam family "tRNA". Rfam says of the family: Transfer RNA (tRNA) molecules are approximately 80 nucleotides in length. Their secondary structure includes four short double-helical elements and three loops (D, anti-codon, and T loops). The record is from Rfam by way of RNAcentral. Lineage: Eukaryota; Metazoa; Arthropoda; Branchiopoda; Diplostraca; Daphniidae.
GGCCUGUUAGCUCAGUUGGUUAGAGUGCCGUACUAAUAACGUGGAGGUCAUGAGUUUGAUCCUCUUACGGGCCA